Molecule: long non-coding RNA, 422 nt
Organism: Rhineura floridana
Lineage: Eukaryota; Metazoa; Chordata; Lepidosauria; Squamata; Rhineuridae
Exons: 2
Source: RefSeq, a predicted model, not a curated record
GAAAAAGUGGCGGGGCUACCCGCCGCCUUUCGCGAGGUCGGGAUGGUAAGAGCCCGCCCAUGCUCACGUGACGUUGCUUUUUUCCUCACUUCCACCAUGAAUUGAGACGCUUGUAACUAUUUGGCCAGGCUUGAGCUGGGCAAUAAAUUGUGUCCCUAGAAAACAGUCUGGAACAUCCAUUUCUGAAGAAGCCAACCCAACCAGACUCGCCAUUCUCAAGAGACUAGAUGUACCGACAAGGAAAUUUCCACAGAAUCCACAUUAUAGUGCUUGUUUCAAGCAACAAAUGAUAUUCCAGAAAACUGACCCAGACAAAAGGACAAACUUUCCAUAUUUACUGCAUCAGAUUCUCUUCUAAGGCAUACGUAGACUGAAGUUGAUGCUUCAUAACAGAAAAAUAAAAAUAAACUGCUGGCAAAGAA